UACAGAGACCUCGAGCGUUAUCCGGAAUCAUUGGGCGUAAAGCGUACCGAUCGGCGGUUUGAAAAGUCUUUUGGUAAAAUCCAGGGGCUCAACUCCUGGCUUGCCUGGGAUACUAUCAAACUAGAGGGGCGAAGAGGUGCUUGGAACGAACGGUGUAGCAGUGAAAUGCGUUGAUAUCGUUCGGAACACCGAUAGCGAAGGCAGAGCACUGGGCGCCACCUGACGCUGCUAGGACGAAAGCGUGGGGAGCGAAUGGG
RNAcentral lists this unclassified non-coding RNA (257 nucleotides) under uncultured Parcubacteria group bacterium. RNAcentral describes it as "contains 16S-23S intergenic spacer region". It matches the Rfam family "Bacterial small subunit ribosomal RNA", at positions 524 to 776 of the family's 1533-position model. The record is from RNAcentral.